Molecule: ribosomal RNA, 370 nt
Filed under: candidate division WWE3 bacterium CG10_big_fil_rev_8_21_14_0_10_39_14
Lineage: Bacteria; candidate division WWE3
Description: bacterial SSU rRNA
Rfam family: Bacterial small subunit ribosomal RNA
Source: RNAcentral
UUUAUUGAGAGUUUGAUCCUGGCUCAGGACGAACGCUGGCGGCGUGCUUUAGGUAUGCAAAUCUAACGGAUCUGUACUUCGGACAGGAAUUUUUCCAGCCCGGGGGGCGGGUCAGUGGUGAACGGCUGAGUAACGCGUAGGAAUCUACCCACAAGAUGUGAAUAACCCCGAGAAAUCGGGGCUAAUACACAAUAGUUUCCGAUUUAAUCGGAAUAAAGGUUGUAGCAAUACUUCCGCUUGUGGAGGAGCCUGCGUCCCAUCAGCUAGUUGGCGGGGUAAAAGCCCACCAAGGCAAUGACGGGUAGGGGGCGUGAGAGCGCGACCCCCCAGAGGGGCACUGAUACACGGGCCUCACUCCUACGGGAGGCAG